UAUAAGAUGACAUUUACCAAUGGAACAAUGGUUAUGGACUGUGACCCUAUAUCAGAUUAUAUGUGAUAUAUCCCUAUUUUCACUGAUUUUAUCUAUGUUUAAGGUAUAGGAUUUUGAGUCUUUAUAUUGUUUCUCGAGUCUUUUAAGUGUUUUUUCAGGGAUUCUAUGCAAUGGGACAACAAUGGAGAUGAGGAGACAUUUUGGAGCAAAAGCUAAGGAAAAGGAAGCUAAGGACGAUUUUGGAUUCAGGAAUCAGAGAGAGUGUCGAUCGACACCAGUUUCGGCCCAGCAAAGUCCAUGACGCUUUCAAGUUUACAGAAGAGGAAAUUUGCCCCAGAAGAGUUCUCUAUUUGCAUUAUUAGUCCCUGGACGUUUUAUAGGGUUUUUUUAUACAUUGUUUAGACCUAAGUUUUCUUUUAUCAAGUUCUUUGCAAACCCUAUUUUGAGAGACAUAAGCUAUUCAUCCAUUGUUCUUGAGAGAUUCAUCCAAUUCUU
Molecule: small RNA, 495 nt
Filed under: Arabidopsis thaliana (thale cress)
Lineage: Eukaryota; Viridiplantae; Streptophyta; Magnoliopsida; Brassicales; Brassicaceae
Description: ATSL205980
Source: RNAcentral